UGAAUACGAGACGCUAAGGCGUCGAAGUAGUGUAUGUCAUACUUCCAAGAAAAGCUUGCACUGUCAUAGAUAAAAAACGCCUGUACCAUAACCGACACAGGUGGGUAGGUAGAGUAUACUAAGGGGCGCGAGAUAACUCUCUCUAAGGAACUCGGCAAAAUAACUCCGUAACUUCGGGAGAAGGAGUGCCUUAUUUUUAAGGCUGCAAUAACAAGAUCCAAGCAACAGUUUAUCAAAAACACAGGUCUCCGCUAAGUCGUAAGACGAUGUAUGGGGGCUGACGCCUGCCCAGUGCCAGAAGGUUAAAGAAGUUGGUUAGCUUUUGCGAAGCUGAUAACUGAAGCCCUGGUGAACGGCGGCCGUAACAAUAACGGUCCUAAGGUAGCGAAAUUCCUUGUCGGGUAAGUUCCGACCCGCACGAAAGGCGUAAUGAUUUGGAUACUGUCUCGGAGAGGGGCUCGGUGAAAUAGACUUGUCUGUGAAGAUGCGGACUACCUGCACCAGGACAGAAAGACCCUAUGAAGCUUUACUGUAACUUGAAAUUGAAAUUGGACUUUAUUCGCGCAGCAUAGGUGGGAGGCGUUGAUUAUAAUCUCGUGGGAUUAUUGGAGCCAUCAGUGAGAUACCACUCUUGUAAUGUUAGAUUUCUAACUUUGAAUCAUUAUCUGGUCAAAGAACAGUUUCAGGCGGGCAGUUUGACUGGGGCGGUCGCCUCCUAAACGGUAACGGAGGCGUACAAAGGUUUCCUCUGAACGGUUAGAAAUCGUAUCUAGAGUGUAAAGGCAUAAGGAAGCUUGACUGUGAGACCUACAAGUCGAGCAGGGACGAAAGUCGGUCUUAGUGAUCUGACGGUACUGAGUGGAAAGGCCGUCACUCAACGGAUAAAAGUUACUCUAGGAUAACAGGCUGAUCUCCCCCAAGAGUUCACAUCGACGGGGAGGUUUGGCACCUCGAUGUCGGCUCAUCGCAUCCUGGGGCGGUAGUACGUCCCAAGGGUUGGGCUGUUCGCCCAUGAAAGCGGUACGCGAGCUGGGUUCAGAACGUCGUGAGACAGUUCGGUCCAUAUCCGGUGUAGGCGUUAGAAUAUUGAGAGGAGCCUUCUUUAGUACGAGAGGACCGAGAAGGACAUACCUCUGGUGUACCGGUUAUCGUGCCAACGGUAAACGCUGGGUAGCUAUGUAUGGAGUGGAUAACCGCUGAAAGCAUCUAAGUGGGAAGCCCACCUCAAGAUAAGUAUUCUCAUC
This 1244-nucleotide ribosomal RNA is filed under the name metagenome. RNAcentral describes it as "bacterial LSU rRNA". It matches the Rfam family "Bacterial large subunit ribosomal RNA", at positions 1564 to 2818 of the family's 2925-position model. The record is from RNAcentral.